Molecule: ribosomal RNA, 420 nt
Filed under: uncultured Nitrososphaerota archaeon
Lineage: Archaea; Thermoproteati; Nitrososphaerota
Description: bacterial SSU rRNA
Rfam family: Archaeal small subunit ribosomal RNA
Source: RNAcentral
CAGCCGCCGCGGUAAAACCAGCACCUCGAGUGGUCAGGAGGUUUAUUGGGCCUAAAGCAUCCGUAGCCGGUUGCAUAAGUUUUCGGUUAAAUCUAUGCGCUCAACGUAUAGGCCGCCGAAAAUACUGUGCAGCUAGGGAGUGGGAGAGGUACACGGUACUCAAUAGGAAGGGGUAAAAUCCUUUGAUCUAUUGAUGACCACCUGUGGCGAAGGCGGUGUACCAGAACACGUUCGACGGUGAGGGAUGAAAGCUGGGGGAGCAAACCGGAUUAGAUACCCGGGUAGUCCCAGCUGUAAACGAUGCAGACUCGGUGAUGCAUUGGCUUGUGGCCAAUGCAGUGCCGCAGGGAAGCCGUUAAGUCUGCCGCCUGGGAAGUACGUACGCAAGUAUGAAACUUAAAGGAAUUGGCGGGGGAGCAC